RNAcentral lists this ribosomal RNA (647 nucleotides) under uncultured organism. RNAcentral describes it as "partial small subunit ribosomal RNA". The record is from RNAcentral.
AGUUUCCCCGUGUUGAGUCAAAUUAAGCCGCAGGKCCCACGCCUGGUGGUGCCCUUCCGUCAAUUUCUUUAAGUUUCAGCCUUGCGACCAUACUCCCCCCAGAACCCAAAAACUUUGAUUUCUCGUAAGGUGCCGAACGGGUCAAAAUACUAACACCGUCCGAUCCCUAGUCGGCAUAGUUUAUGGUUAAGACUACGACGGUAUCUGAUCGUCUUCGAUCCCCUAACUUUCGUUCACUGAUUAAUGAAAACAUCCUUGGCAAAUGCUUUCGCAGUAGUUAGUCUUCAAUCAAUCCAAGAAUUUCACCUCUGACGAUUGAAUACUGAUGCCCCCGACUAUCCCUAUUAAUCAUUACGGCGGUCCUAGAAACCAACAAAAUAGAACCACACGUCCUAUUCUAUUAUUCCAUGCUAAUGUAUUCGAGCAAAGGCCUGCUUUGAACACUCUAAUUUUUUCAAAGUAAAAGUCCUGGUUCCCCAACACGCCCAGUGAAGGGCAUGAGGUUCCCCAGAAGGAAAGGCCCGGCCGGACCAGUACACGCGGUGAGGCGGACCGGCCAGCCAGGCCCAAGGUUCAACUACGAGCUUUUUAACUGCAACAACUUUAAUAUACGCUAUUGGAGCUGGAAUUACCGCGGCGGCUGGCAC